This 491-nucleotide ribosomal RNA is filed under the name uncultured bacterium. Its description in RNAcentral is "partial 16S ribosomal RNA". It matches the Rfam family "Bacterial small subunit ribosomal RNA", at positions 29 to 506 of the family's 1533-position model. The record is from RNAcentral.
AGUGAGCGCUGGCGGUAGGCCUAACACAUGCAAGUCGAACGGCAGCACAGUAAGAGCUUGCUCUUACGGGUGGCGAGUGGCGGACGGGUGAGGAAUACAUUGGAAUCUACUUUUUCGUGGGGGAUAACGUAGGGAAACUUACGCUAAUACCGCAUACGACCUACGGGUGAAAGCAGGGGAUCUUCGGACCUUGCGCGAUUGAAUGAGCCGAUGUCGGAUUAGCUAGUUGGCGGGGUAAAGGCCCACCAAGGCGACGAUCCGUAGCUGGUCUGAGAGGAUGAUCAGCCACACUGGAACUGAGACACGGUCCAGACUCCUACGGGAGGCAGCAGUGGGGAAUAUUGGACACUGGGCGCAAGCCUGAUCCAGCCAUACCGCGUGGGUGAAGAAGGCCUUCGGGUUGUAAAGCCCUUUUGUUGGGAAAGAAAAGCAGCAGGUUAAUACCCCGCUGUUCUGACGGUACCCAAAGAAUAAGCACCGGCUAACUUCGU